AGCCUAGGGAGCUCAGAGUGAAGGA
RNAcentral lists this non-coding RNA (25 nucleotides) under Cricetulus griseus (Chinese hamster). Lineage: Eukaryota; Metazoa; Chordata; Mammalia; Rodentia; Cricetidae. The record is from RNAcentral.